UACGAAUGGGGCUAGCGUUGUUCGGAUUUACUGGGCGUAAAGCGCACGUAGGCGGAUCGUUAAGUCGGGGGUGAAAUCCUGGAGCUCAACUCCAGAACUGCCUUCGAUACUGGCGAUCUCGAGUCCGGAAGAGGUGAGUGGAACUCCUAGUGUAGAGGUGGAAUUCGUAGAUAUUAGGAAGAACACCAGUGGCGAAGGCGACUCACUGGUCCGGUACUGACGCUGAGGUGCGAAAGCGUGGGGAGCAAACAGG
Molecule: ribosomal RNA, 253 nt
Filed under: uncultured bacterium
Lineage: Bacteria
Description: partial 16S ribosomal RNA
Rfam family: Bacterial small subunit ribosomal RNA
Source: RNAcentral